AAAUUGAAGAGUUUGAUCAUGGCUCAGAUUGAACGCUGGCGGCAGGCCUAACACAUGCAAGUCGAGCGGUAGCACAGAGAGCUUGCUCUCGGGUGACGAGCGGCGGACGGGUGAGUAAUGUCUGGGAAACUGCCUGAUGGAGGGGGAUAACUACUGGAAACGGUAGCUAAUACCGCAUAACGUCGCAAGACCAAAGUGGGGGACCUUCGGGCCUCAUGCCAUCAGAUGUGCCCAGAUGGGAUUAGCUAGUAGGUGGGGUAACGGCUCACCUAGGCGACGAUCCCUAGCUGGUCUGAGAGGAUGACCAGCCACACUGGAACUGAGACACGGUCCAGACUCCUACGGGAGGCAGCAGUGGGGAAUAUUGCACAAUGGGCGCAAGCCUGAUGCAGCCAUGCCGCGUGUGUGAAGAAGGCCUUCGGGUUGUAAAGCACUUUCAGCGGGGAGGAAGGCGUUAAGGUUAAUAACCUUGGCGAUUGACGUUACCCGCAGAAGAAGCACCGGCUAACUCCGUGCCAGCAGCCGCGGUAAUACGGAGGGUGCAAGCGUUAAUCGGAAUUACUGGGCGUAAAGCGCACGCAGGCGGUCUGUCAAGUCGGAUGUGAAAUCCCCGGGCUCAACCUGGGAACUGCAUUCGAAACUGGCAGGCUAGAGUCUUGUAGAGGGGGUAGAAUUCCAGGUGUAGCGGUGAAAUGCGUAGAGAUCUGGAGGAAUACCGGUGGCGAAGGCGGCCCCCUGGACAAAGACUGACGCUCAGGUGCGAAAGCGUGGGGAGCAAACAGGAUUAGAUACCCUGGUAGUCCACGCCGUAAACGAUGUCGAUUUGGAGGUUGUGCCCUUGAGGCGUGGCUUCCGGAGCUAACGCGUUAAAUCGACCGCCUGGGGAGUACGGCCGCAAGGUUAAAACUCAAAUGAAUUGACGGGGGCCCGCACAAGCGGUGGAGCAUGUGGUUUAAUUCGAUGCAACGCGAAGAACCUUACCUGGUCUUGACAUCCACAGAACUUUCCAGAGAUGGAUUGGUGCCUUCGGGAACUGUGAGACAGGUGCUGCAUGGCUGUCGUCAGCUCGUGUUGUGAAAUGUUGGGUUAAGUCCCGCAACGAGCGCAACCCUUAUCCUUUGUUGCCAGCGGUCCGGCCGGGAACUCAAAGGAGACUGCCAGUGAUAAACUGGAGGAAGGUGGGGAUGACGUCAAGUCAUCAUGGCCCUUACGACCAGGGCUACACACGUGCUACAAUGGCAUAUACAAAGAGAAGCGACCUCGCGAGAGCAAGCGGACCUCAUAAAGUAUGUCGUAGUCCGGAUUGGAGUCUGCAACUCGACUCCAUGAAGUCGGAAUCGCUAGUAAUCGUAGAUCAGAAUGCUACGGUGAAUACGUUCCCGGGCCUUGUACACACCGCCCGUCACACCAUGGGAGUGGGUUGCAAAAGAAGUAGGUAGCUUAACCUUCGGGAGGGCGCUUACCACUUUGUGAUUCAUGACUGGGGUGAAGUCGUAACAAGGUAACCGUAGGGGAACCUGCGGUUGGAUCACCUCCUUA
This 1539-nucleotide ribosomal RNA is filed under the name Klebsiella pneumoniae. RNAcentral describes it as "bacterial SSU rRNA". It matches the Rfam family "Bacterial small subunit ribosomal RNA". Lineage: Bacteria; Pseudomonadati; Pseudomonadota; Gammaproteobacteria; Enterobacterales; Enterobacteriaceae. The record is from RNAcentral. RNAcentral also lists the same sequence under 1 other name.